CUCUAUGCCUACACCACCCUGAACAUACUGAUCUCAUCUGAUCUUGGGAGCUAUGCAGGGUUGGGCCAGGUUGGUACUUAUUUGAAGGGGAGAGUUAGAGCUGGCUGAGACA
Cricetulus griseus (Chinese hamster) is the source of this 112-nucleotide ribosomal RNA. Lineage: Eukaryota; Metazoa; Chordata; Mammalia; Rodentia; Cricetidae. The record is from Ensembl.